UGUAAACUGAAAGAGUUGCAUACUUCUUCACCCAGCACGGUCACUGAGCUGGCAAGCUAAAGUUAGCUAGUGAGUCACAGAAAUGUACGUUCAGUCUGUUAAUUAUUUCAGUCCGAUUGGACUUAUCCUACUCAAAUCAACAUGGCUCAACAUAGUUUUUUCGUUUUUGACCUCGACAUUCUUGUUGGAUAGAUACUUUGAUAGCUAACAUGUGGGCUAAUCUCCUUUGGAUGCCUCCAUCUAGUUCCCUAGAGCAGCAGACCGGUUAGUCAACUUUGCUUUCGAACUUUGUAAUCAUCUGUAAAGUUGUUUUACAUGAAAUCACACUAGCUAGCUAGCUAUAUUUUGCUAAAAAGCCUGUUGAUGUAAUUGGUUGUUUAUUUGGAGCUAGCUUACUAAGCUAUCACUAGCUAGCUAGGUGGUUAAUGUGGUGUAGGCAACAGUACCUUUACAGUGUUACUGAAUGACAACAAUAUAGCCUUGUAGUUGGCAAGUUGGUUGAUAUGGGGUGCAGUAGGCUAUAGUACAACAGUACUAAAUGAUAACAACGUGCCUUGUCACUAGCUAGUAGUUGGUUGAUGGGGUGGGGUAAAGUAGGCUACAAUACAGCAACAAUAGCCUUCCUACUGUUCUGUUAUUCGUUGGGUCUGGAAAUGGUUAAAUUAGAUAAUAUUAUAGAAAUAUCACACAUUCCUGCAGCUGGGGUGGUGUCACAUUGUCUUUAUCCAUACCAUAGCUGCAGCUACGGAUAUGCCUUUUACUUGAGAGCUCUGUCUUUGCCAGGUCUCCCUUGACAAAAUAACGUUUUUUCUUUUGACCUGGUAAAAUAAGCUUGUGUCCAUUCUCACUAGAUAUAAUUGUGUGGUUCGUUGGCAGAUUUUCAAAAGAAAAUAGACAUAUACAGUAUAUCAUCAGCAAUUUUCAACCAGAUAAGAUACACAGCUAACCCAUAUUUAAUUGAAUUCAUAAAUGUGGACACUAAUUAUUGUUAAUAUUCCAAUCCUCUAGGCCCUCCAUUCCCAAACCUGAAGCCCCCUGUCCCCAGCAGGAAAUACCAAGAAAAACUUCCUAUUGAGGAAAUAUCUGUCAACCAGGUUCGGUGGGUGACAGGUAAGCGUGUUUCCACAAAGAUGUUCCAGACCUGGAGUGGCACGCUGGAACUUCCAGAGGCUUGUAGACCUGAAGCAGUGUGAGAUCUGACACCCCUACUAGCUCAACCACAGUUCUCACAGCUGCAGUCGUCUGCUCCUGCACCUGCUACACCGGCCACGACAGGUGAUUCAGAUCUGCCACCCCCAGCAGUCCUCUGCUGUGGUAUUUAAUUUACCGGCUACACCGGUUCCUACUACAUUGGCCGCGAAGGGAGAAUCUUUUGAGGAUUCCCAGAUGGAUACAGAUCUGCCAUGCACUCCACCACUACCCCAGACAGCCUCACCCAGAAGUGCAUGCACCGGGCCUAUCACAAAGCAGAGAUGGGUGGCUGACAAGGAAAAAUAAAAUAUAACAUGCACACACACUCUCUCUCUGUUACACACACAUUAUCCCCAAUGUAAAUAAAUUGUAAUUAUUUUAUUUUAGGAUUGGAGAUAUCUUACGCCUACAUAUCCAUUAUCAAUAGCUACAUAAUUACUCUAUCCAAUCAAAGUGUGAUUGAUAAUAUCCCACCCCACAAAAGUACGUGAAUAUGUAAAUACAUAGUAAUAACUCGUUUAUUUUAUGUUUGCUCCAUUUUAUUUGAGGAAAAUGUCUGCAAUAAAGUACAUUCACAUAAAGCAAUGUCUUUGUUUUUUUGGAUAUCUCUCCAAAUAAAAUGUGUGACCAAAAGGAAGUCGGCAGCCCUGCAACUCUCUGGGAGUGUGCAGGUUUUGUCAUCUGGAGCUGAAUCUGGAGAGAGAGGAAGAGUGCAGUUUAAAGGUUUAUCAUUAAUAACUGACACAAUUCUAUAAUGAAUUCAUAUAAAAAUAAUAGUACAUAAUAGAGUGACUAAUAGUUACUGUAUUGUGAUAGUUUAGUGUUUUAAUUACUCAACAAGUAGCGCCCCAAGAUGGGAUCCAACUGUGUCUCAAAAGCAGUAUAAAAGGUCAAAUAAGGUCACCAGAAUUUCUGUUACAAGUCUGGCUCCCGCGAAUCAGGGGCAGGUGCUUACGCCAAUCCGCCUUCCCUAUCCACAAUGCCCUAGCAAAACCAAAACAUACUAGAAUGUAACAGCGCUCUCUGUUGCCCCUAGUGGCCAUUUUCCAUGUCAUCUCCCGACAUCCUAGAACAUGGCAUUUAUUCUAACCUGGCAUUUAUGUCACCACUCUGAACAAACAAUGCUUUUUUAAAAAGUAGACAGUGCAGGUGUGCCAUGUAUUUGUGCAUAUUUUUACAUUUACAUUCAAAUGUCUGCAGAAGUUAAAGUGUUGCCCCUUUCUUAUCUUGUGAGGCAUGUCCCAACAUAUACAUGGUAAUACAACGGUCAAUAAAUAUGCCUGUCAAUACAAUGUUCAGUUCAAUUACGUAUUGCAUCAGACAACAACAUUGACGAAUACGCUGAUUCGGUGUGCGAGUUCAUUAGAACAUGCGUUGAAGAUGUCGUUCCCAUAGCAACGAUUAAAACAUUCCCUAACCAGAAACCUUGGAUUGAUGGCAGCAUUCGUGUGAAACUGAAGGCACGAACCACUGCUUUUAAUCAGGGCAAGGUGUCUGGUAACAUGACUG
Long non-coding RNA from Oncorhynchus tshawytscha (Chinook salmon), 2700 nucleotides. Lineage: Eukaryota; Metazoa; Chordata; Actinopteri; Salmoniformes; Salmonidae. The record is from Ensembl.